Molecule: ribosomal RNA, 406 nt
Filed under: uncultured bacterium
Lineage: Bacteria
Description: partial 16S ribosomal RNA
Rfam family: Bacterial small subunit ribosomal RNA
Source: RNAcentral
AUUGAACGCUGGCGGCAGUCCUAACACAUGCAAGUCGAACGAUUGGCUGACGGGUGAGUAAUGUCUUGGAAACUGCCCGCUGUAGUGGUAUAACUCCUGGAAACAGUAUCUAAUACCGCAUACCAUCUGAUGUGCCCAUAUGGGAUUAGCUAGUAGGUGGGGUAACUGCUCACCUAGGCGACGAUCCCUAGCUGGUCUGAGAGGAUGACCAGCCACCAUGGAACUGAGACACGUUCCCGACUACUACGGGAGCAAGCAGUGGGGAAUAUUGCACAAUGGGCGAAAGCCGGAUGAAGCCAUGCCGCGUGUAUGAAGAAGGCCUGAGGGUUGUAAAGUACUUGCAGAGAGGAGGCGUUACUCGCAGAAGAAGCACCGGCUAACUCCGGGCCAGCAGCCGCGGUAAUUA